RNAcentral lists this long non-coding RNA (116 nucleotides) under Felis catus (domestic cat). Its description in RNAcentral is "lncRNA (ENSFCAG00000051254.1)". Lineage: Eukaryota; Metazoa; Chordata; Mammalia; Carnivora; Felidae. The record is from RNAcentral.
CCACAAGAUACUAGGUACUUCGCCCACAAGAUACUAGGUACUUCUCCCACAGGUACUAGGUACUUCUCCCACAAGGUACUAGGUACUUCUCCCACAAAUACUAGGUACUUCUCCCA